UGGGGAAUAUUGCACAAUGGGGGGAACCCUGAUGCAGCCAUGCCGCGUGAAUGAAGAAGGCCUUCGGGUUGUAAAGUUCUUUCGGUGACGAGGAAGGUUGAUAGGUUAAUAGCCUAUCAAAUUGACGUUAAUCACAGAAGAAGCACCGGCUAACUCCGUGCCAGCAGCCGCGGUAAUACGGGGGGUGCGAGCGUUAAUCGGAAUAACUGGGCGUAAAGGGCACGCAGGCGGUGACUUAAGUGAGAUGUGAAAGCCCCGAGCUUAACUUGGGAAUUGCAUUUCAUACUGGGUCGCUAGAGUACUUUAGGGAGGGGUAGAAUUCCACGUGUAGCGGCGAAAUGCGUAGAGAUGUGGAGGAAUACCGAAGGCGAAGGCAGCCCCUUGGGAAUGUACUGACGCUCAUGUGCGAAAGCGUGGGGAGCAAACAGGAUUAGAUACCCUGGUAGUCCACGCUGUAAACGAUGUCGAUUUGGGGAUUGGGCUUUGAGCUUGGUGCCCGUAGCUAACGUGAUAAAUCGACCGCCUGGGGAGUACAGCCGCAAGGUUA
Molecule: ribosomal RNA, 547 nt
Filed under: uncultured bacterium
Lineage: Bacteria
Description: bacterial SSU rRNA
Rfam family: Bacterial small subunit ribosomal RNA
Source: RNAcentral